This 451-nucleotide ribosomal RNA is filed under the name uncultured bacterium. RNAcentral's name for it is "bacterial SSU rRNA". It matches the Rfam family "Bacterial small subunit ribosomal RNA", at positions 335 to 800 of the family's 1533-position model. The record is from RNAcentral.
ACUCCUACGGGAGGCAGCAGUGGGGAAUCUUGGACAAUGGGCGCAAGCCUGAUCCAGCCAUGCCGCGUGAGUGAUGAAGGCCUUAGGGUCGUAAAAGCUCUUUCGCCAGGGAUGAUAAUGACAGUACCUGGUAAAGAAACCCCGGCUAACUCCGUGCCAGCAGCCGCGGUAAUACGGAGGGGGUUAGCGUUGUUCGGAAUUACUGGGGCGUAAAGCGCGCGUAGGCGGAUUAGUCAGUCAGAGGUGAAAUCCCAGGGCUCAACCCUGGAACUGCCUUUGAUACUGCUAGUCUUGAGUUCGAGAGAGGUGAGUGGAAUUCCGAGUGUAGAGGUGAAAUUCGUAGAUAUUCGGAGGAACACCAGUGGCGAAGGCGGCUCACUGGCUCGAUACUGACGCUGAGGUGCGAAAGUGGUGGGGAGCAAACAGGAUUAGAUACCCUGGUAGGCUCUGC